Molecule: ribosomal RNA, 532 nt
Filed under: uncultured bacterium
Lineage: Bacteria
Description: bacterial SSU rRNA
Rfam family: Bacterial small subunit ribosomal RNA
Source: RNAcentral
AGUCAAUAGAUACCCCGGUAGUCCAUGCCGUAAACGAUGAUUGCUAGGUGUGGGGGGUCUGACCCCUUCCGUGCCGGAGUUAAACACAAAUAAGCAAUCCACCUGGGGAGUACGGCCGCAAGGUUGAAACUCAAAGGAAUUGACGGGGGCCCGCACAAGCAGUGGAGUAUGUGGUUUAAUUCGAAGCAACGCGAAGAACCUUACCAGGUCUUGACAUCCACCGAAUCCUGUAGAGAUACGGGAGUGCCCUUCGGGGAACGGUGAGACAGGUGGUGCAUGGUUGUCGUCAGCUCGUGUCGUGAGAUGUUGGGUUAAGUCCCGCAACGAGCGCAACCCUUGUGAAUAGUUGCUACGAAAGAGCACUCUAUUCAGACCGCCGUUGACAAAACGGAGGAAGGUGGGGAUGACGUCAAAUCAUCAUGCCCCUUAUGACCUGGGCUACACACGUACUACAAUGGUCGUCAACAGAGGGAAGCAAGACCGCGAGGUGGAGCGAACCCCUAAAAACGAUCUCAGUUCAGAUUGCAGGCUG